RNAcentral lists this unclassified non-coding RNA (350 nucleotides) under soil metagenome. RNAcentral's name for it is "partial contains 5.8S ribosomal RNA, internal transcribed spacer 2, and large subunit ribosomal RNA". The stretch from base 1 to 120 matches the Rfam family "5.8S ribosomal RNA", at positions 35 to 154 of the family's 154-position model. The record is from RNAcentral.
GAUGAAGAACGUAGCGAAAUGCGAUAAGUAAUGUGAAUUGCAGAAUUCAGUGAAUCAUCGAAUCUUUGAACGCACAUUGCGCCCGCCAGUAUUCUGGCGGGCAUGCCUGUUCGAGCGUCAUUUCAACCCUCAAGCCCAGCUUGGUGUUGGGGAUCGGCACAGGCGCCCGCGGGCGCCAGCCGUCCCCUAAAUCUAGUGGCGGUCCCGCUGCAGCCUCCUCUGCGUAGUAGUUUUCUCCUCGCAAGGGCAGCUCGGUGGCGACCUCGCCGUAAAACCCCCAACUUCUGAAAGGUUGACCUCGAAUCAGGUAGGAAUACCCGCUGAACUUAAGCAUAUCAAUAAGCGGAGGA